This is a long non-coding RNA of Fukomys damarensis (Damara mole-rat), 1233 nucleotides long. RefSeq lists it as uncharacterized. The record is from RefSeq and is a predicted model, not a curated record. The transcript is spliced from 3 exons. NCBI's taxonomy places the organism in Eukaryota, Metazoa, Chordata, Mammalia, Rodentia, Bathyergidae.
GGGGACGGUGAGCCAUGCUGCUAUGAAGGCUUCUGGCAUGGGCGCUCUCUCUAGCCGCCAAGCCUGGCUGGGGCCUGGGCUCCCCACCUGCCUGCAGGUCUGUGUGGUAAGACAGGGCCCAGGCACGAAGACAGCCUGUUUCCUGCAAACCUCCCCCAUCAGCACCUUGGCCAGUGCCCACCUUGCUGGAGGCUGAGCCUGUGGGGCGGAGGACUCCUGGGUGUGGGUUGAGGUGUGGGUGUGAGCUGCUAAAGAGGCUUAUGGGAGGGGACAGAGGAGGAGCUAAACAGGGCCGGGCGGCUGGUCAGGCUGCUUCAGAGGACACAGCUCACUUCUCAGGCUGGCAAGGGCACUGUCCUGGACCCUGCUGUGCUGGGCAUGCACCCUGCCUGGCCCUCACACCUCCCAUCUCUGGAGAGUUGGGGGGGGUGCGUUAUACGUUGCCCCCAACUCCUGCCCCAGCUCCAUGGCCCACUUCCAAGAUGGGGGCCUAAGCAGGAAGAGGGCAAGAGGCUCCGACCAGCUGGGACAAGUGCUGGUGUCUGGACUCCAAGGCUGGCUUGGCCCCUUCUUCUGGCUCCCCGAGGGAAUGGUAAGAGAGAGCAUUCAGAGAGGUCACCUGCCUACGCCACUCCCUUUGGUGACUCUGCUAUCCUAAGAAGACUGGAGGCAGAGCCACAGUCCAGCACUCCAGGGAGCACUGAAAGCCAGCCCCAAGGGCACAAGCAGUCCAAUGGAACUGGGCUGAGAGCCCAGGUUGGGACCUGUCCGGUGUACUUCCUUGUUCUCUAAUGAACGUGAGCACGCGUCCAAAGCAAUCCAACAUCGACGGGGAAGCCAAUCAGAAGGAGGAGGACUGGUUGGGUUGGACCCUAAAACACAUUAUAUUCUUAAGAUCACAAUGAGUAACACAGUUUGUGCACAGUCAGGUGUUGGGGUGGGGGCGUCCAGAAAGAGGCUCAAAUACAAAUAUGAGAAGGGAACAGGUCACAUGCAAGAAGAAAAGAUGAAUUAUUCAGCAAAUAAUUCAAAACAUACAAUCAACCCAGCGUCUCAGGACAACUAAAUUGACAUUUAAGGGAGACUUUCAGAUUUCUGCCUCACUCCUUGACACUAAAAUGAAUUCUGAAUAGACCAAAGAUUUAAGAAGUAAAAAUGAAACCGUAAAACUACUAGAAGAAAGCGUAGGGUUAAAAAAAAAAUCCAUAAUCUUGAAUCAUUCUAAGAAUUAUA